Molecule: ribosomal RNA, 460 nt
Filed under: uncultured bacterium
Lineage: Bacteria
Description: partial 16S ribosomal RNA
Rfam family: Bacterial small subunit ribosomal RNA
Source: RNAcentral
CCUACGGGCGGCAGCAGUGAGGAAUAUUGGUCAAUGGACGAGAGUCUGAACCAGCCAAGUAGCGUGAAGGAUGACUGCCCUAUGGGUUGUAAACUUCUUUUAUAUGGGAAUAAAAUGUUCCACGUGUGGGUUUUUGUAUGUAUCAUAUGAAUAAGGAUCGGCUAACCCCGUGCACGCAGCCGCGGUAAUACGGAGGAUCCGAGCGUUAUCCGGAUUUUUUGGGUUGAAAGGGAGCGUAGGAGGAUUGUUAAGUCAGUUGUGAAAGUUUGCGGCUCAACUGUAAAAUUGCAGUUGAAACUGGCAGUCUUGAGUACAGUAGAGGUGGGCGGAAUUCGUGGUGUAGCGGUGAAAUGCUUAGAUAUCACGAAGAACUCCGAUUGCGAACGCAGUUCACUGGACUGCAACUGACACUGAGGCUCGAAAGUGUGGGUAUCAAACAGGAUUAGAUACCCGGGUAGUC